GUCAAGUAAGAAUACCCGCUGAACUUAAGCAUAUCAAUAAGCGGAGGAAAAGAAACUAACUAGGAUUCCCUUAGUAACGGUGAGUGAACCGGGAAGAGCUCAAAUUUUAAAUCACCUUGGUGAAUUGUAAUUUGAAGAAAGUGUUUUGACUUUUCAGUUUAAUCCAAAUCCUUUGGGAUGAGGUAUCACAGAGGGUGAGAAUCCCGUUCGUGAUUAGACCUCGGAAUGCAUUAAUUCACUUUCUAAGAGUCGAGUUGUUUGGGAUUGCAGCUCAAAAUGGGUGGUAAAUUUCACCUAAGGCUAAAUAUAUGCGAGAGACCGAUAGCGAACAAGUACCGUGAGGGAAAGAUGAAAAGAACUUUGAAAAGAGAGUUAAACAGUACGUGAAAUUGUUGAAAGGGAAACGAUUGAAGUCAGUCAUGCUAGUGAGAAAUCAGCUUGUGUGGUGCGAGUUUUUUCUCAAUCUUCCUUGUGUACUUUCUUGCUCGGCAGGUUAGCAUCAAUUUUGGUUGUCAUCAAAUAGUUGGGGGAAUGUGGCUUCUCUUCGGUGAAGUGUUAUAGACCCUGAUAGAUGUGUCGACUGGGAUUGAGGAUUGCAGCGGAUGCCUUUGGCUAGUCACCUAUCUUCUGGCGGUCACCUCGCUUUUGACAGCUUGCUGAUGAUUGCGGGAUUUGGUGGCCUAGAAGUUAGAAUGUACAUAAAUUCGCUAAGGAUGCUGACGUAAUGGCUUUAAACGACCCGUCUUGAAACACGGACCAAGGAGUCUAACAUAUGUGCGAGUGUU
RNAcentral lists this ribosomal RNA (785 nucleotides) under uncultured Acaulosporaceae. RNAcentral's name for it is "eukaryotic LSU rRNA". It matches the Rfam family "Eukaryotic large subunit ribosomal RNA", at positions 11 to 694 of the family's 3401-position model. Lineage: Eukaryota; Fungi; Glomeromycota; Glomeromycetes; Diversisporales; Acaulosporaceae. The record is from RNAcentral.